This 372-nucleotide ribosomal RNA is filed under the name Physalaemus nattereri (Cuyaba dwarf frog). Its description in RNAcentral is "partial 16S ribosomal RNA". It matches the Rfam family "Bacterial large subunit ribosomal RNA", at positions 1994 to 2515 of the family's 2925-position model. Lineage: Eukaryota; Metazoa; Chordata; Amphibia; Anura; Leptodactylidae. The record is from RNAcentral.
GAAUGGCAUCACGAGGGUUAAGCUGUCUCCCCUCUCUAAUCAGUGAAACUGAUCUCCCCGUGAAGAAGCGGGGAUAUUUUUAUAAGACGAGAAGACCCUAUGGAGCUUUAAACCGCGCAACAACUGCUUUCCCACCUUAUACUCCCAGGAUAAUAAAUUAUAUCUUAGCACAAUGUUAACCGGUUUUCGGUUGGGGUGACCGCGGAGCAAAAAUUAACCUCCACGAUGAAAGAAACUUUAUUUCUUAACCCAGAGCUACAACUCAAAGUAUCAAAAACCUGACAUAAAUUGAUCCAAUCUAUUUGAUCAACGAACCAAGUUACCCUAGGGAUAACAGCGCAAUCCACUUCAAGAGCCCCUAUCGACAAGUGG